AAUAUUGUUCCCGCAUACACCUGUCUCCUACACUUCCCAAACAAUGCAGUUGACCAAUCAGCUUCAAAGGAGCACUGUGAAUUCACAUUUGUUGAUAUGUAGCUAGGCAACGGGCCAGUGACAAAAGAGAACUUGCCAUUUCUGUAGCAACGCAAGAUGCUAACGUACUAAUUUCUUAAAUAAGAAAGGAUAUGCUAAGACCUGAUGCUUCGUUUCUGCUUAUUCCUCGGUGUGCACAAAGGAAUCAUUAUGUGGGAGUUUAAGUACUGAGAUUUUAAGAGCCUGCAUUACUGCUUGAAAUUAUUGUAAAGGGGAACAGCUUGAUCAUCCAUGAUACACAUCUAUCCAUGGAAAAUGGACUGGAGGAUAAAGCCUUAGCUGGGUAAAACACAGAAUCAACUUAAUGUAACACAUGCGGCUGUACAAUGUGGCAACACCAAUAGUUAUUGCUAUGAAUGCUGAAU
Lacerta agilis (Sand lizard) is the source of this 464-nucleotide long non-coding RNA. RefSeq lists it as uncharacterized. Lineage: Eukaryota; Metazoa; Chordata; Lepidosauria; Squamata; Lacertidae. The transcript has 3 exons. The record is from RefSeq and is a predicted model, not a curated record.